This 301-nucleotide ribosomal RNA is filed under the name uncultured bacterium. RNAcentral describes it as "partial 16S ribosomal RNA". It matches the Rfam family "Bacterial small subunit ribosomal RNA", at positions 509 to 807 of the family's 1533-position model. The record is from RNAcentral.
CAGUCGCCGCGGUAAUACGAGGGGUGCAAGCGUUAUUCGGAUUGAUUGGGUGUAAAGGGUGUGCAGACGGCUUAUUAAGUCACUUGUUAAAUUCUUCGGCCUAACUGAAGGUCUGCAAGUGAUACUGAUGAGCUAGAGGGUGGAAGAGAGAAGUGGAAUUCUCGGAGUAGCGGUAAAAUGCGUAGAUCUCGAGAGGAACACCAAUGGCGAAGGCAGCUUCUUGGUCCAUUCCUGACGUUCAUACACGAAAGCGUGGGGAGCAAACAGGACUAGAUACCCCCGUAGUCCCUGUCUCUUAUAC